This 77-nucleotide transfer RNA is filed under the name Candidatus Omnitrophota bacterium. RNAcentral's name for it is "Candidatus Omnitrophica bacterium tRNA-Arg". It matches the Rfam family "tRNA". Rfam says of the family: Transfer RNA (tRNA) molecules are approximately 80 nucleotides in length. Their secondary structure includes four short double-helical elements and three loops (D, anti-codon, and T loops). Further hydrogen bonds mediate the characteristic L-shaped molecular structure. tRNAs have two regions of fundamental functional importance: the anti-codon, which is responsible for specific mRNA codon recognition, and the 3' end, to which the tRNAs corresponding amino acid is attached (by aminoacyl-tRNA synthetases). tRNAs cope with the degeneracy of the genetic code in two manners: having more than one tRNA (with a specific anti-codon) for a particular amino acid; and 'wobble' base-pairing, i.e. permitting non-standard base-pairing at the 3rd anti-codon position. The record is from RNAcentral. Lineage: Bacteria; Pseudomonadati; Candidatus Omnitrophota.
GUCCCUGUAGCUCAGCUGGAUAGAGCAUCUGCCUUCUAAGCAGAGGGCCGCCUGUUCGAAUCAGGCCAGGGACGCCA